AUGUAACAUGCCAUUCUAAAAUAGUGGACUGUGCUUGAUGGUUCUAUAGUAUCUUGUAUUCUGAAACUGAUUAGAACACCCACAUUGAUACAAAGUUCAUCAAGCUGGAUGCUGAAAAUGCGCCCUUCUUUGUGACAAAAUUAGCAGUCAAAACUCUGCCUUGCAUCAUAUUGUUCAAAAAUGGUGUUGCCUUCGACAGGCUGAUUGGGUUUCAAGAUCUUGGCAGCAAAGAUGAUUUUACCAUGAGUGCCUUGGAGAAUCUUCUGAAAAGAAAAGGCAUCAUAGAUGAAAGGAAAGGAGGUGACAAUGAUGAAGAUGCAGACGAUGAUACUGACAGUUACAAACACAGGAACAUCAGGUCUUCUACAAUUCAGGAUUCUGAUUCAGACUGAGCAGACAGCAAUACCACAAUUUUUUUAUCUUAAUGUCUAUCUUGACCAUAUACUCUAAGAAAAGUACUUUUGCACAUCCGCUAGGGGUUCUUGAACCCACAAAUUCCAGCAAACAAGCAGGGCUUCAGAUCAUCUAUGAUAUGUACUGAUGCACAACCUUUCUUAUUUUAUCUUUCUAAAGAUUGUUGUUUUUUCU
This is a non-coding RNA of Phoenix dactylifera (date palm), 588 nucleotides long. The record is from RefSeq and is a predicted model, not a curated record. NCBI's taxonomy places the organism in Eukaryota, Viridiplantae, Streptophyta, Magnoliopsida, Arecales, Arecaceae.